This 481-nucleotide ribosomal RNA is filed under the name uncultured bacterium. RNAcentral's name for it is "partial 16S ribosomal RNA". It matches the Rfam family "Bacterial small subunit ribosomal RNA", at positions 30 to 507 of the family's 1533-position model. The record is from RNAcentral.
UUGAACGCUGGCGGCAUGCUUUACACAUGCCAGUCGAACGGUAACAGGCCGCAAGGUGCUGACGAGUGGCGAACGGGUGAGUAAUGCAUCGGAACGUGCCCAGUCGUGGGGGAUAACUACUCGAAAGAGUAGCUAAUACCGCAUACGAUCUAUGGAUGAAAGCGGGGGACCGUAAGGCCUCGCGCGAUUGGAGCGGCCGAUGUCAGAUUAGGUAGUUGGUGGGGUAAAGGCUCACCAAGCCAACGACCUGUAGCUGGUCUGAGAGGACGACCAGCCACACUGGGACUGAGACACGGCCCAGACUCCUACGGGAGGCAGCAGUGGGGAAUUUUGGACAAUGGGCGCAAGCCUGAUCCAGCAAUGCCGCGUGCAGGAAGAAGGCCUUCGGGUUGUAAACUGCUUUUGUACGGAACGAAACGGCUCUGGUUAAUACCCGGGGCUAAUGACGGUACCGUAAGAAUAAGCACCGGCUAACUACGUG